AACGUGGCUGCACGAAAAGAAGCACAAAAAAUAGAAUGACAAAAAUGUGGUCGUUAUGUGAACUUUGAGGUAACUCUUCAUGGAAUCGCUUAACCCACACUCCAUGCAAUGUUAAGCAGAUUUGAGGCCAGAGCCAGCCAUCGUAACCACAAGAUAUGCAAAUUUUGCUGGUGCUGGUAUUGACCUGUCACAGCAAAAAUGAAAAAUCCAAGUAUAAUCGCUUGGAUAAACAGCAUCCCAUCUGAUUACCGUGGAUCUCUUCUUCUCCUUUCUUGAAAUCCCCUCUGUCCUCGUGUACGCCCAUGUGAAUAUGGGGGUAUUCACGAGUCUGAGGUUCUUUUUCCUAUCCUGCCUGGUGUCUUCCAACUAUUCUGCGGAUGGAGCACUUGUGGAAUGCCUGGCUGUAUUUCCCAGGCAUAAAGAUUUGAGACCAGAGCCAGUCAUCAAAGCAACAAAAUAUCCAAAAUUUGCUUGUGCUGUUAUUGGCUUAUUGCAACAAUCUGUCAUCAGCAACAGUAAGAAUCAUCGCUUGGAUAAUGGAGAAACUGCCGAUUUCGUCCAAGUUACGUCUUCUUCCCCUCUCUUGAAAUCCCCUCUGUCCUCGUGUACGCCCAUGUGAAUGUGGGGGUAUUCACGAGUCUGAGGCUCUUUUUCCUAUCCCUUAACUAGUAUCUUCCAACUAUUCUGCGGAUGGAGCACUUUUGGAUGUCUGGCUGUAAUUCCCAGGCAUAAAGGAAUAAUGACCAACUUGUUAGCACAAUAGAAUCGCUGUCGGACCACCACAGAUGCGCUACAGCGAUCCUCCCGUCAUGCACGGCACAAGAGAGUAUUAGAAGACCAACGCCACGCCAAUUUGUGGAUUUCGUCGAACUCAUAAAAAGUGGCGGAGUCUAUUCCCGGCCAAUGGCUAAUUUUCGCCAUUUUCCAUUUGUUUCCGAGACAGUUGGGGAUAACGCAUUAAGAAUAUACUGCGAGUCUGUGACACUUUCCAGCUUUCCAUUUUAAAAGAUAAUCUAGCCUGUAUUUUCAACUCUGCGAAAUCAUCUUAACAUGUGGACUGAAACUGAACAUUUUUUGCCUCAAUGUCGUUGCUUGCUGCAGCUUGCUGCUUGUACCGGUUGAUGUCUCAACUCAUGCAGAAACACUUCACAGCUAAAAAAGCUAUAGAUCAAUUAAUUGAACACCAGAGAGUAGAUCUUUGCUUCAGUAUUGCAAUUCUAUCUGAUCAUGAGACCUGAAGCUUAUGCUGUACAUUUUCCCAAACGUCGUCUCUUGGGGCAUGUACAGGUUCAUCUGUACGUUUCGUCAUAUGCUGAAAUACUUCAGGACAGUAAAAGUAAUUAUGGUGAUCAACUUUUUAAUCUAAGCCUAUUGAAGUCUACGCUUCUUCAUUGCAGUCAAAUGUGCACAUGGAUUUGUUGCAGCCAGCUGGCGAAAGGUGUUCCUGUUGCAGGCUUGCACCCUGUACCGUGUGUAGCUUUCGUCACAUGCAGAAACACUUCCGAACAAUUUAAAAUUUCCAUGGUCAGUUUUAUGUUUGUGACGGUCUGUUAAAAUAAGAAUUUAAAUCUAGAACAACGCCUCCUUUGAGCGGCCCGGACAAUCCUGAAUCCUUUAGGGUUGCCAUUCCAUCGAGGCUUAAACGAGGAUGACGCGGAGGUGUUGCCCAUUGAGGGGUUUUGGUGACAAGGAGUCACUGAACGAAACGCUAAACCAAAUAAAAAAAGUAUUAAAAAAGCACCAAACGACACGCGAUAGGUUCCGGCGGUCAUCAACUAUUCAAGAUGGUAGACCUGUCAAUGUAAAAGACAGGGGGACAGGGUCAAACAAAACACAGGUGAUAUGCUUCGUGCUGUUGAGGCUGAAUAUGAUUGGUCCACGGUAUAAUAACGGAUGCAACGUCAUCGCAAUAGCAAAUCUCUGCAGGCGAUUUGAAAUGCGAUUUUUUUUUUGUUUUUUGUUUUUUUUUGCUGGCACAACGUUGACUUCCCCAAAGACUUGAGAUUUUCUCUCCGGGUUUUGUUCUACUUUCACUUUCGUGACUAGCUUUAGCCAUGAAAGGCAUUGUACGCCCUAUAAAACACCUGUCUUGUUUACCUUUGUUUUCAUUCGCCAGUCGCAGUAUCCUUGCAUCAAUUGUUUUAUUAAUCUUUGUCUCCCAAUCGCCAAUACUAAACACGAACCAUGGCGCAUUUCCUGACUACAACGAUCCUGUUGGUCGUCGCGAUGCUGACCGUUGACGCCGCUAGACUCACCAAACGUCAAAUCGAUUUCGUUGGCGGUUUCUCACCUGCCAAGGUGGACAAUGUGGAAGUUGUGAUGAUGGCAGACUUCGCAACUACCGCCGUAUCAGCCAAUAUGAACUCCGGACCGGUAAAACUGCUCAAAAUCGUGAAAGCGGAAAUACAGGCAGUUUCGGGCACUAAGUACAAACUAAACCUCGAGAUAAGAUUGCAGUAGAAUAUUUUCAAAAAAGCCAAUUGUUCAAACGGUUCGAAAUUGAAGAUUUAUUCAUUCACUGAAUAAAUGAGUCAAAUGGCUCAAAUGUCAAUUGACCCAUCCCCAGCGACGUCAACCUGCAGAAAGAAAAAGGCCGUUUCUAUGGCCUUCAGACUCGAAGAUCGCGGAGAUAAUUACGUAAACUGGCAUGGGGUGGCGUAGAGGUUGGGUGAGAAUGACACGUUUUUCAACAUUAUCAAGCAGACCCAUCCCCAGCAACGUCUACCUAAAGAAGGAAAUAAAGGCCAGUUUGCAUUUCAAUCGAAGGUCAUGGAGAUCAUUACGAAAAGGUGUCAUACAGUGGAGAAGAGGUUGGGUGAGAAUGGGACGUUUUGCAUCAUUAUCAAGAAGGUAAAAUAGCCGCAAGGCUUGAGAGGAGGGGUGAGAAAAAGUCGUAUAAAAGGCGAGAGAAAAGUCGACAGGGAUCAGUCGAGUGAGUGUCUCCGACACGGCAACAGCUGCAUUCUUCGUCGUAAUAUCAGUUCGCAAUUAUGGGUAAAUAUUCAUUUUUAAUUUUGAUUCGUAAGUCUAUUGUAUCUUGUUUUGAGUUGUUGAUACGACUAGUAUCUUCGAAAAAUAAUAUCCAAUUGUUUAUUUUAUUGCAUAGUUAGUUAUGGAGUUGUGUUGCUGUUGGGUGUUGUAUCGUUGAUGUCGACCACGAGAGAAAAUCUUUUAGAAGGAAAGAAAAAAGGCAACGGAAGUCAAUCGAGUGAGCAUCUCCGACCAUGCAGCAGCUGCAUUCUUCGUCGUAUUAUCACUUUAUCAGGUCACAAUCACGGUCUGGCUGAUGCUGUCGUGCUGCUAUUGGUUGUUGUAUCGUCGAUGGCUGGGUGGACGGCUGGUGUUCCGAUGUCUCCUGGAUAAGGCGGAUACCAAACCGCAACGCCACCGCCUUACUACACAACAACAUACGCAACGACCAGUUACUACACCGAGGUUGCACAGUUGGGUUUACAGUUAAGCCACCAAGGAUCCAGAUUAUUACACCACAACUUGUGCUGCUCCCCGAGCUACACUACGAAAGCGCUAGAGUACUACACCGAGGCUCCCAAGUACUACACCACCAAGGCACCUGAGAUUACGCAACUACUUAUGCUGCCCCAACCAACGACACCGAGGCUUCAGCUUAUUACACAACCAAAGCUGUCGAAUUCUACACUGGAACGCCCAAGUACGACAGAAAUCAGUCUAGCUAGCUUCUCCGACACCCAACACGGCAGCCCUGAAGUUUCGAAUAAACUUCGCUUCAAACAGUGGAACGGCAAAGAAUGAAGACGAAUUCUACUGCAAUCGCGUCGAAUUGAAUAGUAAAGACAACACAUUCGUACGUGUACACCGCGUCGUUAACUUGACAUUGUUGGUCGGAAAGCCGAACUUGACGAUGGCCGUACCAUCACCUACGACAAGUGCGUUAUUGCCACAGGUAGUAAACGAAAAUCUUUUCCAAUCCCUGAGCGGUGCCCUUAAAGAUGUCCACGAGCACGUCACGCUGUCCCGCAACAUCGAUGGCGCUAACACAUGCCGAGUCCUCUAAAUGUUUAACCAAUGGACAACCGAGAAGGUGAAAGCGGAAAGUGUUAAUGUUUUGCCCAAAGCUUAUGUUGAGGCUGCAACUUUGGAAGACGACGAGGUCGCAUUGACCUUAAACGAUGGUUAAAAGCAGAUUCUAACUAUGUCGUCGCUGUUGUCGGUUUCAACGCAAACACGGAUUUGGCUGUCGCUUCUGGUUUGGAAAUAGAUUCCAAUUUUGGUGGUUAUCGAGUCAAUACCGAGCUCGAAGCACGAUCGGCCGUCUGGCUGGCCGGAGAUGCUGCCUUCUUUUGUGAUAUCAAAUUGGGUCGUCGUCGUAGGGAAUAUCAUCACUUUGCUGUUGUAUCAGGGUGAUUGGCUGGAGAGAACAAUACUGGCAAGGAAACAUGGAUGAACAACUGCAGUGUACUCUUCCCAAGUGCAUUCUUCUUCGUAUUAUCAGUACGCAAUCGGGCUGGGUCGAUCACUGGUGUACCAAUGUCUCCUGGGUAUGGUGGAUACCAAAGCACCACACCGCUGCCUUACUACACAACGACAACAUUCGCACCAACCGGUUACUACACUGAGGCUCACAAUUACUACAUCACCAAGGCUCCAGAAUAUUACACCGCAGAUAACGCUUCCCCGAGCUACAUCAUCAAAGAUCCUGAGUACUACACCGAGGCUCCCAAGUGCUACACCACCAAGUCACCGGAGUACUACACGUAUGUUGCCCCAGCUUACUACACCGAGAGGUUUCCAAGAAUUAUUUAGUUCCUAGCUACUACACCGAGGCUCCAACUUAUUACACCACCAAAGCGGUUGAAUACUACACCGAGACACCCAAUUACUACACCACCAAGGCUCCAGAGUAUUACACCACAACUUGUGCUACCCCGAGCCACUACACCGAAGCCCCGAAGUAUUACUCUGCCCCAAGCUACACAACUGCAACUGAGGCGGCCAAGUAUUACGCAGCCCCGACUAACUACACAGCGGAUGUUCCUUCGUACUACGUUGAACCGGAAUACUACACCGAGGCUCCAGUUUACUACACCACAACCUACGCUACACCUACUA
This 5088-nucleotide long non-coding RNA is filed under the name Daphnia pulex (common water flea). Its description in RNAcentral is "uncharacterized LOC124189045, transcript variant X14". The record is from RNAcentral. Lineage: Eukaryota; Metazoa; Arthropoda; Branchiopoda; Diplostraca; Daphniidae.